AUACAAUUUUACCGGAUCGUGUAAGAUAUGGAAGGACAUGCAAAUCAAGCGUUUGAUGUGCAAUAUGAAGACAGUUUGCAACUAAACGUUUCCACUCAACAAGAAUUAUCCAACUUAGAAUCUGUCCCAAGUGGUCACAAUAUAAAAACAAACGAGAAUAAAGCAGAUGGAUCUGUAAAUCAAGAGCUGUAUCAAAAGAAAACCAUUUCUAAUGAGCCAAAUUUUUACCAUAAGGAGGUGUCAGAAUCUGCAUCCUCAGAGUUACUGAAUAAAGGAAAUAAUCCUGAUGAACGUCAGAUAGAAAUAAGUGAGGACCGACUUGCAAAUACUACUCAUCUUAGAAGAGCUGCUCCAUUAAGACUUGGGAUAUCCAGCGAUGAAGCAGGAUGCAGUCAACAAACGUCAUUUACGCAUAAUGAAAUUCCUUCAACAGAACCUGAUGAGCCAGUAGGAAGUAUGUCUCAUAACAAAGGCAGAGGAUUCUGGAAUCGACAUUUCUCAGCCUAUAGUACUGCUGCACAAAGAGCCUUAUAUUGGAUGCUACAUCUUUGUACACUUGUUUAUGUCAUAUCUGCAGUUGCAUUCUGGAAAUUUCAACAAGAAUGUGAUUUGGAGUGGUGUGACGGGCUGGGAAUGCUCCUUAUCAUUGUGGUUCUGGUGUAUACUGGACUUGCGUAUUAUUACAUCAUUAAGAAGCAUUGUAGCAAGACAUUAUAUAAAGUUUUGAAACCAAUAUGUAGGUGGCUGAGUACCUUAAUGGAGCAUAGGUAUAGGAAAGCUGUGAUAUGCUUGUUACCAUUUGUUGCAAUAGUUGUGUAUCUCGGUGUAGAUACCAUUGGCAGUAGUGAAAGACUUAUUUCAUGUCUUGGGACAGUUUUGAUCAUGGGUCUGGGAUUUAUAUUCUCAAAAUACCGUGCUCAGAUACAAUGGCAUCCAGUUCUGAGUGGUUUAGCUGUGCAGUUUUUACUUGGACUGAUUACCAUUCGUUGGUCUGUUGGACGUAACAUCAUUCAGUGUAUUGGUGACAGAGUAGCUAUAUUUCUUGGUUAUAGCAAUGAGGGAGCAAGAUUUGUUUAUGGCAGUGAUUUGAUUGAUAAAGGCAUAUUUGCAUUUCAGCCACUGUCAGCCAUAUUUUUCCUGAGCUUUGUGGUGCAGAUUUUGUAUUAUUAUGGUAUCAUGCAGUGGGUUGUUAUAAAGCUGGGUUGGCUUAUUCAAGUCUUGAUGGGAACCACUGUCUGUGAAUCUGUCAAUGCUGCUGCAAGUGUUUUUCUUGGCAUGUCAGAGUCACCGCUGUUAUUUAAGCCUUAUCUCAAUGAUCUCACAAAGUCUGAGAUGCAUGCCAUCAUGGCAGGAGGAUUUGCUACAGUUGCUGGCUCAGUCUUGGCAGCAUAUAUAAGCUUUGGAGUUUCACCUGCUCAUCUUAUAACAGCAUCAGUCAUGUCUGCUCCAGCUGCCCUGUGUUAUUCCAAACUCUUCUACCCAGAAACAGAAGAGAGCAAGAACAAAGCUGAGAACAUGAUAAUUGAGAAGGGUGAUGAAUGCAGUGUCCUGGAUGCAGCUACCAGAGGAGCAGUGACUGCUGCCCAACUAGUGCUGGGAAUUAUUGCCAAUGUUAUUGCAUUUGUUUCGUUUAUUUCAUUCCUCAAUGGAAUUCUGUCCUGGCUUGGUAUGCUUGUGGGUGCAGAAGGUUUAACUUUUGAGUAUGUACUGAGCAAAGUUUUUAUUCCAUUGACAUGGGUAAUGGGUGUAGAAUGGAAAGAAUGUGAAGAUGUGGCUCGACUGAUUGGAAUAAAGACUAUAGUGAAUGAGUUUGUAGCUUAUGAGCAGCUUGGGAAGCUAAAGUUGGCCAAUAAACUUUCGCAACGCUCAGAAAUGAUAGCAACAUAUGCUCUUUGUGGAUUCUCAAACCCUGGCUCAAUUGGCAUUUCAAUUGGAUCACUGAUAACAAUGGCUCCCAACAAGAGAAAAGCUAUAACUGAAGUAGCACUUCGAGCCUUCAUUACUGGCAGUGCGGCCUGCUUUCUUACUGCCUGCAUUGCUGGUGUGCUAAUGCCAGAUCAUCAUUUCUCCGAUGACAGGGUGCCAGUUUUUAAUGCAUCAACUAAAGGGCCAUAAUUUAAAAAUAAUGCAAGUUCACCAAAUACAGAUGAAGAGCAUGGAAAUAAGAAUAAAUAUAUACGUCAGUGAAGUACAUGCACUUUAAUUUGAAAACUGUACAAAAAAUACAGUAAGGAUGAUGUUACAUUCAGUGCUGUCAUGAAGUGGGAAAGUUUCUGGCCCUGACAUAUUCUCAUACAACCAUAACAAUUUUCAGCCAUUCAGUAUACUGAUCUGCAGUCCAACCGUGCCAAGUCUGGUGGAGAGGUCUGUUGUGACAAAGCAACUGGGAACAGUGGUGAGUUGAUGUGUGUUGUAUGCUAUGACAACACAAUUCAGCAGCUGUUGAGAAAACAGAUCGAGGUUUGAUGGUGGCACACCUAGCCUGGCUCACACCUUAUCAGGGAAUCCCUUGGACUAGCGGCCUUAAGAAAGGAGCAGCAAGAGAAGUUGGAACCGAGACAUGGGAAAAGUUCAUGAAAGCAUGAAUAUUUUAACAUCAUAUAACAGUUCCCUUAUGUUACGCGGUAAAUGACUGAAAAUUUAUAUACCCAUAUAAUAGGCACCCUUUUUGCAUUUGGUAAAAAUUUACCGAUGGUAUGUGUAAAUUAGUACUUUGUCAUGUAUUUAGUAUUUCAUUAUUAAUUACAAAUCGGUGUAUUUUUUUACUACCAAUAACAAUAAAGAAAACAUAUAUUGUGAAUAAAAGGACAGUAUAUUUAGGCGUCUAAAACGUCCCCGACAAGAUAUUUUAGGAUUCACAUUCAUAAUGUUUCUUAUAAUUCUUUUUUAUAUUAUAAAAACAUUUUUACUACUAGCCACGUUUCCCCAAAAGGCAACACCAUACGUGAUAAUAGAAUGAACAUAAGCAAAAUAUACAAUUUUUAAGUCUUCUAUGGUUAAAAACAAUUCAAAUGUGGAAUGGAACAUUAUCUAAGUAACAGUAUUCAGACACUUCAAGUGAUUUGCAAAGUGUAAAGUGCAAGAAAACCAGAUUAUCUACCUGAAAUUAUACACACAAAACAGGAAAGUGAUAUCUUUCCUUCCCCACAUCACAUCUCAUAGUUAACCUAAAAUAAGAUUUUGUAGUUAUUGUCUAUUUAAAAUGAUAUGGCAGUGAAUGCAUUGCAUUUAAAGCAUAAAUAGUAUUCAUGAAAGAGUUUACACAAGAAAGUUAAAUAUUUAAUAUCAGGAGCAGCAAGGACAUUUCAUUGCAUAAUUCCAUGCAUAGUGUCAUACUGAUAAGACAUUAUUUUGACAGUUAAGAGUACUUAACUUAAUGUACAUUAUCUUGAAAAUUGUUUACUGACCAUGCUAUACUCAUAUGGUAAAUGAUAAUCUGUUAAUCUAAUCAUUAUUCUAAGAUGUUAAAAAAACUGUACAAGUUUCAGAAGGGCAUGUAAACCUUUAGAAAUAUUAUAAAACAGUACCAACAACUGCACAUUUUUAUUUCUUGUUGGUUAAGCAGCAACAGUUUUUUUCCACUGGAUAGCAAGGAGGGAAUUGCACUUUUUAUAACAAAUAAAUAAGCUAAUAUUCUGACAUGACAUAAGAAAUAUUCAGUAGCAAUGAAACACAAUGCAUGAGAAAAUAAUUGAACCAGCUUUCUCCGUGGCUAUACAUUAUAAACAAAGGAUAAAUUUUUAAUAAAUACAAAUUAUCACAUUAGUAUCAAAAGAGAUGAUUAAUCUUCAAAUGUCUUCACAGUUAAUAGUGCAAUUUCUAUAUGACCUUUCAAAUCAGAUAAGCCCACAACUAUUAGCUAAAAAUCUUCAUAUAAGUGUCUACUCAUGAUCUGCUUUCUGGAGUAAUAUAUUCUUUUUCAGCUUCAUGAGACAUAAAAAUGUUCUCUUGAAACAACUGAUAUUCAACAGGGUGAAUAUUAACUAAAUCCAGAGGUUCAUUCACCAGUCAUGAGGGUGAAACCAAUAACAUCUGAGGCUGUCAAGGGGAUGAUCAUUAAAGAGUACCAUCUUCCAGAAUGUGACAUCAUGUAGUAUGGUAGAAGUUUACAAGCAGGCUGUACUUGCCAUACUGGUGCACAGGGCUAGAGCUCUAUGUGAUGAAGACAGCCUACAUGCAGAGUUGGUGUUCCUGAGGGACGUUUUCAGGCAGAACAGUUACAAUGACCAGCAGAUCCACAGAGUCCUCAACCAUCAUCUGAAUAUCAGUCAGCCUGAUGAUAAACCAGACUCGGUUGCCUUCCUGCCCUAUGUUAGGACUAUAUUCAACCGAAUAAGCAGAGUGCUGUCCCAGCAACAUCAUCACAUCAGUGGGCCUGCCUCCCAAGAAAUUAUCUAGUUUCCUCUAGCUGGUCAAAGAUAACCUGGGACUAAGGACACCGGGUGUAUACAGAAUCCCCUGUGAGUGUGGCAAGGUCUACGUUGGGCAGACAGGCUGUUCCAUGGACACAAGGUUGAAAGAGAAUCAGCGGCACAUCCGUCUUGAACAUCCAGACAAGUCAGCUGUGGCUGGACACAGCGUUGACUUGGGACACCGCAUUCAGUUUCACAAUACUUCCCUUCUCACCACUAAGACCCAAUACAUGGAUCACAUUGUUAAGGAGGCUGCUGAGAUUGAGCUCCAUCCCAACAAUAUGAACAAAGAGGUGGAGAUUUGUCUCAGCAAGUCAUGGAAGCCUCAUAAUCUGCUCCCUCAAGAAACCUCUGGAAUAUGAUACCAGAUCUACAGGGCCACACAGGUUGAUGCAUGCUCGGCAGCUUAGUCCCAAGACUAUUGGGUCAAUGCUCUCCCGGUAACCAGUAACCUUGCCUUUCUUUCGCCUCCAUGACACGAUCCCAUACUGGCUCUGGCCUGCUACCUACUGGCCCAUCUCCACAGACCUCUCCUCUAUAUUGAUUUCCCAUGUGGCCCACUAUCCCUCCCUUCCUCUUCUUAUAUAGCUGGGUGAUUUUUAAUGCUGACUCAGUCUGCAGCCACCUGCUCACGCUGGUUUCUCGCUCGUGGGU
Cryptotermes secundus is the source of this 5066-nucleotide RNA transcript. It is a transcript of the gene named sodium/nucleoside cotransporter 2, with no coding region annotated. The record is from RefSeq and is a predicted model, not a curated record. The transcript is spliced from 17 exons. NCBI's taxonomy places the organism in Eukaryota, Metazoa, Arthropoda, Insecta, Blattodea, Kalotermitidae.